AGUGAACGCUGGCGGUAGGCCUAACACAUGCAAGUCGAACGGCAGCACAGUAAGAGCUUGCUCUUACGGGUGGCGAGUGGCGGACGGGUGAGGAAUACAUCGGAAUCUACUUUUUCGUGGGGGAUAACGUAGGGAAACUUACGCUAAUACCGCAUACGACCUACGGGUGAAAGCAGGGGAUCUUCGGACUUUGCGCGAUUGAAUGAGCCGAUGUCGGAUUAGCUAGUUGGCGGGGUAAAGGCCCACCAAGGCGACGAUCCGUAGCUGGUCUGAGAGGGUGAUCAGCCACACUGGAACUGAGACACGGUCCAGACUCCUACGGGAGGCAGCAGUGGGGAAUAUUGGACAAUGGGCGAAAGCCUGAUCCAGCCAUACCGCGUGGGUGAAGAAGGCCUUCGGGUUGUAAAGCCCUUUUGUUGGGAAAGAAAAGCAGCAGGUUAAUACCCCGCUGUUCUGACGGUACCCAAAGAAUAAGCACCGGCUAACUUCGUG
Molecule: ribosomal RNA, 492 nt
Filed under: uncultured bacterium
Lineage: Bacteria
Description: partial 16S ribosomal RNA
Rfam family: Bacterial small subunit ribosomal RNA
Source: RNAcentral